CCUAGCCCCGCGGCGAAGAACCGGUUGGAUUCAAAAGUCGCCGGGGAUUUUUGGGAAUCAUAUAAAUAGACACGCUCGGACAGACAGAAAGGAGUCAUUACCGAGAGGAGAUACGACGAUGUAGAGAGAUACACGAUGUAGAUGGGACCUAGGCACGGUCACCCACCUAGGUUGCCGUAUGUAUAUAUUUUGUACGUGUAGUUACUAAUAAAAGUCCAUGUGAAAUAACUAAUCUGUGACUACGUCUACGUCUACUGGUUAUCUCUGCUAUCAACGCUGCCACCUUCUACGCCGUCGAACCACGAGAACCGAAGUUCUCGACAUUUCGCAGUACAAUGAUUGGUGGAGGAUCAUGGUCGUUCUGCAUUCGCUACCUCUACCAAGCUAAUCCCCCAGCUGAAGAAGAAGAAGAAGAAGAAGAAGAAGAAGAAGAAGAGGAAGAAGACGAGAAGAGAACCUGGCCUUCCAAUCGUCCAACGGAAGAGGGAGAAGCAGACGGAGGCGAUAGAGAAGGAAAAGCUAACAGCAGAUGAGCAGAAGAAGAAGAAGGAGGAAAGAGGAAGAAGAUGCGUAAGUCCUGUUCGAACAUGCCAUCUUCGCACCCGACAACCGGAGCCUCUUGCAACCUACAAGGCAGCAGCCAUGUUGUCAUGUCAUCCAAGCUCGACAGCCUCGAUCCAGAGCCCGCGCAGAGCAAGAUCGAGGAGCAGCAGAAGAAGUAGACUAACACGUCGACGAUAGGAUAAGCUACAUCGUAAUUUCACUGUAUACAUAGCCACAAAUUCGGAAAUAAUUUAUUAACAGUAAAAUAGCUCACGAAGUGCCGAUCAGCGCGCGAGUUUUCGUAGCUAGCGUGGUAUUCGAAUAUUAUGGUAACGGCGUACGGUGACUCAAGCGUCGAAAGUAUAUAAGUAGUAGAAGCCUAUGCGAUGAGAGGGGCGAGACGCCCAGCCGCUUCAAAGUAUGACCUCGAACGUGGCCAAUAGGGUAAGCUGAAAUUAGCGUCCCUGCCAACAGAGGCAUACUACUGCACUAAACUUACCAUAGUACGUAUAAAGGUGACGAACGAGCCGAUUUCGUCACGCGUCGCGUCAUUUCCGAGUCACGAUUGCCGAUAUACCAUUGGGUCGAUACCACGACAGCAAAACCACGAAUUCAAAAUUUUUUAUAAACAAAGAGUUGGCUAUGGAUAUGUGUUUACGAUAUAGCUUAUAGCCGGUCCUAUCUGUAUUUUAUGUUUCGUCGUUUGUUUGUUUGUAUAUUGUUUCCUUCGAUUAACCGAUUACUAACGUGAUUUAAGUGGUAAGAUGUAUCCUUGUUUCGCCAUUCUUCCCUAUGCCUUUCCAUGCCGAUUCGAGUUGUGUUACCGAUGCGGUUUGUCAAAACCCCCCUGUGAUACGGAAAUGUGCGCACAUUUUCACUAGACAGCUGCAACAAAAUCCCCCUCAACUCGUUUCAAAAACGGACUUUCCAUCCCUUCUCUACCCCAAGGAUUUACCAUCGCCAUCACACGUAAACGCGGUCGGUGCCGGGCUUGUAAAAUUACAGCAUAGUGCACACCUACUAACAUGUAUUAUGACACUGUUUGAUGUUUGCAAACUUGGACUAAUGUUUUCAACUUUUAAGCUUUAAUGUUUUUUAAUGCAUAACUGUAUUUUUUUGCGAGGACACGAAUUCUGUCGAGAGAGAAGGAAGAAUUGUUGUAUGGUACACGGCGCGUAAUGAACCAGGAGCGCUCUAGCCAGACGAGGCAGUGGAACUAGUUGGCCUGUGUUCUGGCCUGGUGGUUCGUUGUUGUUUUGGUAAUGACGCGGUAUGUACGGUCUUAGAUAUAUGCGUAGCUUCACGCGUCUCCUAGCCCCGCGGCGAAGAACCGGUUGGAUUCAAAAGUCGCCGGGGAUUUUUGGGAAUCAUAUAAAUAGACACGCUCGGACAGACAGAAAGGAGUCAUUACCGAGAGGAGAUACGACGAUGUAGAGAGAUAGACGAAAACAGAGACGACGGGACCUAGGCACGGUCACCCACCUAGCUUGCCGUUCGCGUUCUCGUCGGUUCCCGUAGUUUCCCGCUUUACCUUCCCGCCAUGCGAAGUGAGAAGCGAUAAGGAAUGAUCUAGCAGCGCCAUCGUACGCAGAAAUAUGUUCACUACUGGCAAUGAGAAGGUAAGGAAUAUUUGUCAUCGAAGUGAAAUAAAUGAGUCACUGUGUUGCGGGUUCUGAACUUCUGGUUAUUUAUAACGUCUACGCACGCACACGGGGGCGCGCGCACGCACGCACACACACCCACACACAC
This 2292-nucleotide long non-coding RNA is filed under the name Priapulus caudatus. RNAcentral describes it as "uncharacterized LOC106815473, transcript variant X2". Lineage: Eukaryota; Metazoa; Priapulida; Priapulimorpha; Priapulimorphida; Priapulidae. The record is from RNAcentral.